RNAcentral lists this ribosomal RNA (468 nucleotides) under uncultured bacterium. RNAcentral describes it as "partial 16S ribosomal RNA". It matches the Rfam family "Bacterial small subunit ribosomal RNA", at positions 28 to 507 of the family's 1533-position model. The record is from RNAcentral.
GACGAACGCUGGCGGCGUGCCUAACACAUGCAAGUCGAACGGAAAGGCCCUGCAUUUGUGGGGUGCUCGAGUGGCGAACGGGUGAGUAACACGUGAGUAACCUGCCCUUGACUUUGGGAUAACUUCAGGAAACUGGGGCUAAUAUCGGAUAGGAGAUCCUGCAGCAUGGUGGGGGUUGGAAAGUUUCGGCGGUUGGGGAUGGACUCGCGGCUUAUCCGCUUGUUGGUGGGGUAGUGGCUUACCAAGGCUUUGACGGGUAGCCGGCCUGAGAGGGUGACCGGCCACAUUGGGCCUGAGGUACGGCCCAGACUCCUACGUGGGGCAGCAGUGGGAAAUAUUGCCCAAUGGGCGGCAGCCUGAUGCAGCAACGCCGCGUGCGUGAUGACGGCCUUCGGGUUGUAAACCGCUUUCGCCUGUGACGCAGCGUGAGUGACGGUAAUGGGUAAAGAAGCACCGGCUAACUACGUG